RNAcentral lists this ribosomal RNA (468 nucleotides) under uncultured bacterium. RNAcentral describes it as "partial 16S ribosomal RNA". It matches the Rfam family "Bacterial small subunit ribosomal RNA", at positions 28 to 507 of the family's 1533-position model. The record is from RNAcentral.
GACGAACGCUGGCGGCGUGCUUAACACAUGCAAGUCGAACGGAAAGGCCCUGCUUUUGUGGGGUGCUCGAGUGGCGAACGGGUGAGUAACACGUGAGUAACCUGCCCUUGACUUUGGGAUAACUUCAGGAAACUGGGGCUAAUACCGGAUAGGAGUUCCUGCUGCAUGGUGGGGGUUGGAAAGUUUCGGCGGUUGGGGAUGGACUCGCGGCUUAUCAGCUUGUUGGUUGGGUAGUGGCUUACCAAGGCUUUGACGGGUAGCCGGCCUGAGAGGGUGACCGGCCACAUUGGGACUGAGCUACGGCCCAGACUCCUCCGGGAGGCAGCAGUGGGGAAUAUUGCACAAUGGGCGGAAGCCUGAUGCAGCAACUCCGCGUGCGGGAUGACGGCCUUCGGGUUGUAAACCGCUUUCGCCUGUGACGAAGCGUGAGUGACGGUAAUGGGUAAAGAAGCACCGGCUAACUACGUG